GUACUGCCAAGGAGUCCAAAUUGGGACGAAACAGCUGUCCAGUAC
This 45-nucleotide non-coding RNA is filed under the name Trichobilharzia regenti. Lineage: Eukaryota; Metazoa; Platyhelminthes; Trematoda; Strigeidida; Schistosomatidae. The record is from RNAcentral.